This 445-nucleotide ribosomal RNA is filed under the name uncultured soil bacterium. Its description in RNAcentral is "bacterial SSU rRNA". It matches the Rfam family "Bacterial small subunit ribosomal RNA", at positions 26 to 479 of the family's 1533-position model. The record is from RNAcentral.
AGAUUGAACGCUAGCGGGAUGCUUUACACAUGCAAGUCGAACGGCAGCGCGGACUUCGGUCUGGCGGCGAGUGGCGAACGGGUGAGUAAUAUAUCGGAACGUGCCCAGUAGCGGGGGAUAACUACGCGAAAGCGUGGCUAAUACCGCAUACGCCCUACGGGGGAAAGGGGGGGAUCGCAAGACCUCUCACUAUUGGAGCGGCCGAUAUCAGAUUAGCUAGUUGGUGAGGUAAAGGCUCACCAAGGCGACGAUCUGUAGCUGGUUUGAGAGGACGACCAGCCACACUGGGACUGAGACACGGCCCAGACUCCUACGGGAGGCAGCAGUGGGGAAUUUGGACAAUGGGGGAACCUGAUCCAGCCAUCCCGCGUGUGCGAUGAAGGCCUGGUUGUAAGCACUUUGCUAGGAAGAACGCGUGCCGUAAUACGGACGCACUGACGGUACC